ACGGAGGGUGCAAGCGUUAAUCGGAAUUACUGGGCGUAAAGCGCGCGUAGGCGGUCGGGUCAGUCGGAUGUGAAAGCCCUGGGCUUAACCUAGGAAUUGCAUUCGAUACUGCUCGACUAGAGUAUGGGAGAGGGAAGUGGAAUUUCCGGUGUAGCGGUGAAAUGCGUAGAUAUCGGAAGGAACACCAGUGGCGAAGGCGACUUCCUGGCCCAAUACUGACGCUCAGGUGCGAAAGCGUGGGUAGCAAACAGG
This 252-nucleotide ribosomal RNA is filed under the name uncultured bacterium. RNAcentral describes it as "partial 16S ribosomal RNA". It matches the Rfam family "Bacterial small subunit ribosomal RNA", at positions 525 to 776 of the family's 1533-position model. The record is from RNAcentral.